Molecule: long non-coding RNA, 4259 nt
Organism: Dermacentor albipictus
Lineage: Eukaryota; Metazoa; Arthropoda; Arachnida; Ixodida; Ixodidae
Source: RefSeq, a predicted model, not a curated record
AGGACGGGAAGGCGGAAGCUGCGCCAUCAUGCUCGUUUUCGCGUGCGUUCGCGUCGCGCGCUGUGCGAAGUAAUUUUAAACGUGUGAUUAGUUUUGCGCGCGGGGUAGAAAAAGAUGUGGCCCAUGCUUUGUGUAUUACUCAUGCCCCACUUCAAAGCAAAGCGUUCGUACGCACUGGAAGAUGGAUCCACGAAGGCUGAAACGAGAAGUUGCAACGUGCCCGGUCGGUAGUACUGGCAUGAUGGAAACUUUCAGCGAGUGUUCCCGCCUGAAAGCCGAGUUUGGUUUCAAGCCACCCUGGACAACUGCUGUAUGAGGUGCCGUUUCUCGGGAGGACCAGUGGGAAGGCGCCAAGUAUACGCUUCGUCCUUUUUCCUCCCAUGCCCUGAUGAAUCGAUAUCCUUGUUUUUUAUUGUGAAAGGAACGUUACAUCCAGAGCAUAAAUAAAUGAUUAAGAAAUCUGGUAGUGUGUUCCGCCAUUACAAUAAUUCCGAUGUUAAAGACGUGGAUUUCCCAUUAGCCCACAUUUCUUUUGAUGCAGACAACCGCUGAAAUUGUUAGCGGCAGGUUAUUCGAGACGUUCUACGUAUAUAGCAAUUGUCUUCAGGAGCUUUAAUGAAUUUUGAAAAUUUGAAGUGUUGUGCUUUAGAGGUAUCAUAUACAAGCUUUAGGUCUCCGGGUAAUUUGCAUGCCCUUCGAGAGCUGUCGCCUAUAGCCCUAUUGAAAUUCGUAACUACAGUUUGGAGCACUGGGGAAGCUAGAAGGCUUGUCCUGGCUCUCGAGAAAGUGUUUAAGCUGGAGGUGUAGGUUGAGGAGUUUGGGGUUGGUAACACAAAGGAUUUUUUAUGCCUUAGCAGUAGGAGUGACACAGGAUAAAAAAAAAAAUUUAUGUGUGUCAAGCACAGGAAGCUGCUCAUGUGGUAGAAGCAUGUGUGUGCAUGUGUGUGUGUGCGCCCAUGUAUGCGUGCGUGUGUGUGAAUUCUCUCCUCAAAAGGGAGUAUGUGUGUAAGUGAGCUAUUUCAUUGCUGGUCUGUUUGCCAAGAAUUGGCAAGAAAACACAAUAAUCAAUUUAACUUGAAAUAAUAAACUUCAAAGCAUACUGGCGACAGCAGCAUACAAGCAUGCAGCUGUGUGACAAUCUUAAUGCAUGACUGUAACAUCUGGAAGGAGGCUUGCUUCUUCUUCAGUAAGCAGCACAAAGUCCAUAUUCUUGGCUUUUCUCGUGCAAACCAAAACGAGGCUCAUUGCCAAUAAUCUUGUCUUUUGCUCUAAUAGCAUUUGUUUAUCUUGUACUUAGAGCAUCGUUUCUCGCAGGUCAUGCAGAUGGUAGCAGCAAUUUCACAAUGCCCAGCCUUGGCGCCCCCCAUCAAGAUCAAGCCACUUGCGUUCACCUUCAGACAGAUGGUUAAUGUCUUGAAAGCGGUUGAGAAGACAACAUUGAUGCAAGAUUCCAGCAACGCCAUGCGCUGCAUUUAUUGGUCAAGAUACUCAGAGAAUGGAGUCCCUGCACCUCGUGGUUAACCGUGAACAUUUCUUUUUCUUUUGGAAAGCUAAAGGCCAUUUGCUGCAUCACUUGCAUUUUUGCAGCUCAGAUGUGUACUAUAUUUUUCUAAUUUUGAAUCAAUAUUGGCUGUUCAGUAUAAAAAAUGACAUACAGCGUGAAGGACAAGGCAGGGUGUCUACCAACCGGGAAAACCGGGAAAACCGGGAAUUCUCAGGGAUUUCGCGUAGUCUGGAAAAAGUCAGGGAAAACUCAGGGAAUUUGGGCCUCUAUCAGGGAAAAUUAGCGGCAAUUUUAUUGAAAGGGUCGAAAGUCGCGGUAAUGCUGGCUCGAGUAGCAGACAGGAAUCGUAAUGAAUAGUCUUUGACGCCCUAUUGUUGGCAGGAGGAGUUGCCAGUGUACAGUCAACGAGCGACUUUCCGGAUUCCCGAUAAUUUGGACGGCUUCGCGGCGCCACCUCGUACCCCAUAGUGUCAACGUAUCAGAACGUGUGAAAUUUCCGACGCUAGAACUCUUUGCCGUCCGAUUUUCCGGACGUUUUGCCGCGACCGCAGGUCCGAAACGGCAUUAAUCAAAGGCACCACCGCUGCCGUCUUGAUUACUUCGCCGCCUCGAACCGGCACUCUCGCACGCAGAUCCGCUGUCACCCGUUGCCACCACUGCGGCAACGCUAGACCUAGCUGCUUCGACGUUCGCUAUGAAGCUUCUUGCCAGUGGGUGCCGAACUUUUUAUUGAAAGAAUUCGCUGCUGUGAGCAAUGGCACGGACUCCACCUUUGUGCUCCUCGCGAUUUGCUUAGAAACCUGGAAAACACGGUGCGUUGCAUAAUGCCGGUUCGUGAAAGUCAGCUUCGCCUCUGUACAGAAAUGUUACUCGGUAAAGCUUACGGAAAAGUAUUGCAGUGAAGCAUAACAAGCGUGGGAAGGGGCUAUUGCCACGGAAUACAGUAUGUAUAUCUUAAUUAUGCACGCGGGCACCCGGCAUUUCCUGUCACAGUACGAGCACAGGUAUGCCUAAUACGUGUACCGACAGGCCUUCAGAGCGUUUUCAGAGGUUUGAGCCCCUAAGGGCAGUAAAUGACACGCAUUUAUUUUUUUCCAACUGGCCGAUUUUUCGGACGUUUUUGCGGCCCCUAGGGAGCUCGAAAAAUCGGUCGUGGACUGUGCAACUGAUCAAGACGCUUCAAAUGGUCCUUGGGGCGAAUGAGUGGCGGAAGGCGGACAAGAACAGAAGUGACCUACGCAUUGAGGAAUAAACGAGAAAGGAAGCUUGUUGCCGCCGUUUUGAAAGAGCUUGAGCUCAAAAAAUAAAGUUUUGGCUGAUGCCGAGAUGCAGGUGUCCCUCAUCCAAACCAAAAUACACUCUUUGAAGCAGUGCAACACAACACUCGGGUGUCGUGCGCGGGCUGAGAGUAUGUCAGGACUGUUGAGGUUGACUUACGAGCUGUUGAGAGAGAAUCUCAAUUGUGACAGAGUUCAGGCCUCAUCCCACUGAGGUUGCGAUCAGUUGAUAGAAAUAGCUCAUAUUAGAAAAUAUUUGCCUUUGUAUGCAUGUCCUUUUCAAUCGUAUUUGAUAAUGUCCGACCCUAUUUGCAAAUUUUCCGAAGACACUUUAUUUGCUGUGCAUUUUACUAACCCCUGCCUUCUAUUCUCUUUUUGAAUAACAUCAACACUGCUCCUUAGUAUUCAAAUUGGAUUAAGUUGCUUUUUUUUCAUGUGCUUACUAGAGAGUGACAGCAUCAGGUCAUAUGGUUUCAGCCCGUGUUGAUAUAAAACAUAGUUCUGCAUCACUCAGGGAAAUUUGCAGUGGCACUCAGGGAAAACCUGGAAAACUCAGGGAAUUUGGAAAUGUCAACUUGGUAGACACCCUGCAAGGACUGCGAGAGACACACUCCACUGACUUUCAACAAUAUUUUAUUGCGUUGCCACAUCGUGUGUGUAUACACAGAGGGGUCAUGCGCAGAAAAUGAAAGCCAGUCACAAGGGGUGUUCUAACAGCAAGUCAUUGUAAAAAGAACAUGGUCACUUGAAAAAAAAAACAUCACAAUUUCUAUAUGUUUAGAUACAAAAUUUCACUAGGGGUCAGCGUGAUAGAGGGGGCACUAACGCACACACUACCCAGUUUUCUGGUGAAAUCAGCUUCAAUAAUUUACCGGGUGAGCUGUGUCCCGCUAAAACUUCCGUAUCUUAAAGAGGGGCAUGCAGCCGCAGUCCCGGCAAUGAAUGCCCAAGUGGCCUUGAACAGUGUUAUUGACGUUGUUAUAGUGCUCUCUUAAAUGAUCAUUUAGGCGCCUGCCUAUCUGUCCAAUAUAUUUACUGCCUCAAAAUGGGAAUUUGGGAAACCACAUUCGUUGCACACAUCGCAAAACACACACGUUUACAUCGUUUACACACUUACAGAGCCUUGCCAGCUUUUCCGGGGCUGAGAAAAGGACUGUGAUUUCUGCAGGUUCCCUAAUCUUCUUUAGCCUAUGGGAGACAUCAUGAACAUACGGUAGCACUGCAAACCUGUGUUUCAACCGGCUGGUUCCUUGACCGAGCGCGCUCAUCAUGUUUUGUGCACUUCAGAAGCUUUUCCGCUAUGGCUGAAAUUAAGGCCAAAGGGUAGCCAACCCAAGAAAGGCAAUCAGCCUGUGCAGCAACGCUAUGUUGCAUCUCGUGUGAGCAAGAUUUAUUGAGGCUGUUAAGGAGGCAAAGCUUUACAAUAUCUCAUUUGACUUUGUUGGACAGACAGGCAGGUGCCUAAACAAUCAUUUAGG